Molecule: ribosomal RNA, 497 nt
Filed under: uncultured bacterium
Lineage: Bacteria
Description: partial 16S ribosomal RNA
Rfam family: Bacterial small subunit ribosomal RNA
Source: RNAcentral
GAUGAACGCUGGCGGCGUGCCUAAUACAUGCAAGUCGAGCGAACGGACGAGAAGCUUGCUUCUCUGAUGUUAGCGGCGGACGGGGGAGUAACACGUGGAUAACCUACCUAUAAGACUGGGAUAACUUCGGGAAACCGUAGCUAAUACCGGAUAAUAUUUUGAACCGCAUGGUUCAACAGUGAAAGACGGUCUUGCUGUCACUUAUAGAUGGAUCCGCGCUGCAUUAGCUAGUUGGUAAGGUAACGGCUUACCAAGGCAACGAUGCAUAGCCGACCUGAGAGGGUGAUCGGCCACACUGGAACUGAGACACGGUCCAGACUCCUACGGGAGGCAGCAGUAGGGAAUCUUCCGCAAUGGGCGAAAGCCUGACGGAGCAACGCCGCGUGAGUGAUGAAGGUCUUCGGAUCUUAAAACUCUGUUAUUAGGGAAGAACAUAUGUGUAAGUAACUGUGCACAUCUUGACGGUACCUAAUCAGAAAGCCACGGCUAACUACGUG